RNAcentral lists this unclassified non-coding RNA (437 nucleotides) under uncultured Tomentella. RNAcentral's name for it is "sequence contains ITS2". The stretch from base 1 to 156 matches the Rfam family "5.8S ribosomal RNA". The record is from RNAcentral. Lineage: Eukaryota; Fungi; Basidiomycota; Agaricomycetes; Thelephorales; Thelephoraceae.
AACUUUUGGCAACGGAUCUCUUGGCUCCUGGCAUCGAUGAAGAACGCAGCGAAAUGCGAUAAGUAAUGCGAAUUGCAGAAUUCAGUGAGUCAUCGAAUCUUUGAACGCACCUUGCGCCCCUUGGCUAUUCCGAGGGGCAUGCCUGUUUGAGUAUCAUGAACACCUCAACUCUCAUGGUUUGCUGUGAUGAGCUUGGACUCUGGGGGUUUUGCUGGCCUGUGGUCAGCUCCCCUCAAAUGAAUCAGCCUCCCAGUGUUUGGUGGCAUCACGGGUGUGAUAAAUAUCUACGCUCGCGGUUGUCUGCCAGGUAACCCUCAGCAAUGAAGGUUCAUUGGGGCUCAUAAACAUCUCUCCUCGGCGAGGACAGCUUUUGAACGUUCGAUCUCAAAUCAGGUAGGACUACCCGCUGAACUUAAGCAUAUCAAUAAGCGGAGGAU